UGGGGAAUAUUGGACAAUGGGCGCAAGCCUGAUCCAGCGACGCCGCGUGAGUGAUGAAGGCCUUCGGGUUGUAAAGCUCUGUUGAGGGAGAAGAAAACUAUCACGGCGAAUAGGCGUGGUACUUGACGGUAUCCCUUUAGAAAGCACCGGCUAACUCUGUGCCAGCAGCCGCGGUAAGACAGAGGGUGCAAACGUUGCUCGGAAUUACUGGGCGUAAAGCGCGUGUAGGCGGACCACCAAGUCGGACGUGAAAGCCCUGAGCUCAACUCAGGAACUGCAUCCGAAACUGGCGGUCUGGAGUAGUGGAGAGGAAAGCAGAAUUCCUGGUGUAGAGGUGAAAUUCGUAGAUAUCAGGAGGAACACCGGUGGCGAAGGCGGCUUUCUGGACACUUACUGACGCUGAGACGCGAAAGCGUGGGGAGCAAACAG
Molecule: ribosomal RNA, 429 nt
Filed under: uncultured bacterium
Lineage: Bacteria
Description: bacterial SSU rRNA
Rfam family: Bacterial small subunit ribosomal RNA
Source: RNAcentral